Rhinopithecus roxellana (golden snub-nosed monkey) is the source of this 1675-nucleotide long non-coding RNA. RefSeq lists it as uncharacterized. The record is from RefSeq and is a predicted model, not a curated record. Lineage: Eukaryota; Metazoa; Chordata; Mammalia; Primates; Cercopithecidae. The transcript is spliced from 4 exons.
AUGAAGGCCCUGCAGCCCCCGCCGCCCGAUUUACCACCUGUUGUGUGCUGGGGGUACAGAGGGUCUGAGCACCUCCCUCACACAGGCAGAACCCUGGCUCCCAUGUUCACCAUGCUGAGAGAGACCUUCAGGGGACAGCAGGAGGCCAGCCGGGAAAUGGGCCCCCACUUGUCCAGAGGCAGAGCCCGCGCAUGCCCGACCUCGCUCCUCGCGGCUCCCUGGGCAGCAGCUCCCUGGCAGUUGGAACUGGAAGGCUUCUCAGAGUCCUCGUAGCCCCACCGCCCUCCCCGCUCUCGGGGGUGGGCAUUGGGGGGACAGAGCCAGGGCAGGGAGGAAGACAGGGCCCGGCUCACCCCACAGCUCAGCCCAUGAGGGUGCGCAGAGCAGGGCUGGCAGGAGAGGGCCACUCCACACCCAGCCCUGUUGAAGAAAAAGAACAGAAACAGGGAACAGAAAGUUGUCAGUUGCUGUGUAACAAUUUGCCCCGCAGCUUAGCCCCUUCAGACAAAUGUAGCUGCACAGUGUCUGUGGGUCAGACAUCCGGGCCCGGUGAAUUAGCCUCUCCCUCAAGGUCCCUCGCGAGGCCUCUGUCAGGACCCCGCCGGACUGUGAGUGGACUGCAGGCUCCGGGCGGGGAGGCUCCGCGUCUCUGCUGGCCCCGCGGCUGUGGGCAGGAUUCAGUUUCUCACGGGCUAUUAGAGUGAGGGCCUCGAUCUUUUCUGCUUUGUGGCUGGAGGCCUCACUCAGUUCUCUGCUUCACGGACCUUUCCUUGGCACAGCUCCCGCAUAGCUCAGCAAGCCGUAAAGGCAGGCUCCUGCAGCCAAAGGGAGUUCCCCCCCUUUUCUGCUGUGUUCUGUUUGUGUGGGUUCAGCCCAGGGGAGGAGGUUCCACAGGACAGACACCAGGAGUUGGGGGCGUUGAGGGCCAUCUCCCAGGCUGCCCACCACAGCCCCCACGUGGCCGCCUGUGUCUGUGUUCUUGCCACUGUCCCUACCCUCAGGGAGUGGGUCUGGUCUCAUCAGGGAGGGCGGCGCUCUCUUCACUCUCUCCUUACUCUGGUGUUUCACUGUGAUUUUAAAAACUGAAACUGGAAUUGUUACCCCUUGACAUAGCUGCACCCUGCGUGGGCCUCUGCGACGCCCCUCCUUCUCUUAAGCCUUUCCAAGCGGUCUGACCAUUUUUAAGUCCCAUUACCUGAAUGACACAGAGCAUCUUAAGCUUCUGAGUGACUUGUGUUUUCCUGAGAGACAGAGGGGACCCCCAAUCUGUUUCCAGAGGCCCUGAUGGUGUCGUCUUGGGAGUGGAGGAACCUGAGGGAAAGUCCCGGGGGCGAGUCAGGGGAGAGCUCUGCCCUGGCGCCCUUGCACAUAUCCAUAUGGGCCACAGCUGCACCCUGCUCUCAGCAGAGCACCUCGCCAUGCUCCUGGGCACAGCCGGGCCCUCUCGCCUCCCUGCGGCUCCUAAUGCCUCCCAGGCUCUGCUGAGGUCACCUUGGGCACUUAGCGUGGCUGCAGCUCUUUGCGGCCCGGUGUCCCUGUCAUCCAUGUGGCAGUCAUGUGGUCACUUUUGGUCACUUUUCGGCACUGCCCUGCACAAGGUCCAUGGGGACUGGGCACCUCCGGCCAUUCUUUCUUUGGUUGUCUGUGCAAAUAAUAAACCAAAUCUGAGAAAGUC